GUUUUUGUAGUGUAAUAAAUGCACAUCAGAUUUUCGUUUUGAAAGAGUGGCCUUACCAAAAAUU
RNAcentral lists this transfer RNA (64 nucleotides) under Obscurella hidalgoi. RNAcentral's name for it is "tRNA-Glu". Lineage: Eukaryota; Metazoa; Mollusca; Gastropoda; Architaenioglossa; Cochlostomatidae. The record is from RNAcentral.